RNAcentral lists this ribosomal RNA (175 nucleotides) under Leptosphaeriaceae sp. RNAcentral describes it as "partial small subunit ribosomal RNA". It matches the Rfam family "Eukaryotic small subunit ribosomal RNA", at positions 1347 to 1544 of the family's 1831-position model. Lineage: Eukaryota; Fungi; Ascomycota; Dothideomycetes; Pleosporales; Leptosphaeriaceae. The record is from RNAcentral.
CCUGCUAAAUAGCUAGGCUAGCUUUAGCUGGUCGCUAGCUUCUUAGAGGGACUAUCGGCUUAAGCCGAUGGAAGUUUAAGGUAAUAAUAGGUCUAUAAUACCCUUAGAUAUUCUAGGCCGCACGCGCGCUAUACUAACAGAGCCAACGAGUUCAUCACCUUAGCCGGAAGGUCUA